GAUGAACGCUGGCGGCGUGCCUAAUACAUGCAAGUCGAGCGAACGGACGAGAAGCUUGCUUCUCUGAUGUUAGCGGCGGACGGGUGAGUAACACGUGGAUAACCUACCUAUAAGACUGGGAUAACUUCGGGAAACCGGAGCUAAUACCGGAUGAUAUUUUGAACCGCAUGGUUCAAAAGUGAAAGACGGUCUUGCUGUCACUUAUAGAUGGAUCCGCGCUGCAUUAGCUAGUUGGUAAGCUAACGGCUUACCAAGGCAACGAUGCAUAGCCGACCUGAGAGGGUGAUCGGCCACACUGGAACUGAGACACGGUCCAGACUCCUACGGGAGGCAGCAGUAGGGAAUCUUCCGCAAUGGGCGAAAGCCUGACGGAGCAACGCCGCGUGAGUGAUGAAGGUCUUCGGAUCGUAAAACUCUGUUAUUAGGGAAGAACAUAUGUGUAAGUAACUGUGCACAUCUUGACGGUACCUAAUCAGAAAGCCACGGCUAACUACGUG
RNAcentral lists this ribosomal RNA (497 nucleotides) under uncultured bacterium. RNAcentral's name for it is "partial 16S ribosomal RNA". It matches the Rfam family "Bacterial small subunit ribosomal RNA", at positions 28 to 507 of the family's 1533-position model. The record is from RNAcentral.